UGGCCCUUCGAGAGAGAGGACCCCGGGGAGCUGUCAGCUCCAGAUCCGCUUUCUUCAGGAUCCGCUUCAGCACUCACGCUACUGCCACACCCUGCCCGGCUGCCCCCAGCCAACACCUCAAUGUAAAACACAUUCUGUGGAUACUGAUGCAGAGGCUAUACGGAUGGAGAACAAACAGGGUUCUUCUAAGACACUGACGCAUUAUCUACGAAGAUAAUGGAACCAGAAGGCUAAUCAACCUUGCCAUGCUGCCGUAGACACUGAGGAUGAAUUUUUAUAAGAGGAUAGAGUGGGAGGAUGGAGAAAAAGGAAGUGCCUGCUCCAUCCCCUGAGUGCCAUCUGCUGUGGAGGGCACAGACAGUGCCCGCCCAGAGAGCUCUCUGCCCACAGAUACGCCCACACACCGCACCACUGACAGCUGUGGGAAGGCAACACCAGAGCUGAGAAAACACGGAGCUGGCUUUCAGACUGCACAUAUUGGUCAUCAGAAGAUUCUAAAAGAAAAGAAGUUCCAACAGAGAAGUGUCAAGAGAGGUAGGGAUGAGAGCAAUAUAGAAGCCAUAAACUUUGAGAAACCAG
This 579-nucleotide long non-coding RNA is filed under the name Equus caballus (horse). RNAcentral describes it as "lncRNA (ENSECAG00000035531.2)". Lineage: Eukaryota; Metazoa; Chordata; Mammalia; Perissodactyla; Equidae. The record is from RNAcentral.